GUUUCCCGCUCCCGCCCACCACACCGGAAGUGACGUUUGUAUAUUAGCCGGUACAAGGUGAAGAAGGAAAUUUGCGGCGCCUUGCGUUCCACCCAAUCAGCUUUCCACCGUGACCCGGCCAGCAGGAACCCAUUUAUCCCCGCCCCUUCGUGGCCGGGCCGUAUUUGCGCGCUAACCCAAAAUGGUUACCGUCAACCUGCUUUGGUGUAAGGUCUUAGUCCUGGUGUGUCCCGGAAAAUCUGCUUCUAGCCCAGAGUCGCUGGGUGAUCUUACGCUUCUCCUAUAUGUCUUCUCGCAGACUUGGUUUCCCAUUUGAACAUAUUCGUUAU
Molecule: long non-coding RNA, 329 nt
Filed under: Marmota monax (woodchuck)
Lineage: Eukaryota; Metazoa; Chordata; Mammalia; Rodentia; Sciuridae
Source: RNAcentral